GUAAAUAUAAUUUAAUGGUAAAAUAUCAAUCUUCCAAAUUGAUGUUAAGAGUUCAAAUCUCUUUAUUUACA
This 71-nucleotide transfer RNA is filed under the name Hepatozoon canis. RNAcentral's name for it is "tRNA-Gly". It matches the Rfam family "tRNA". Rfam says of the family: Transfer RNA (tRNA) molecules are approximately 80 nucleotides in length. Their secondary structure includes four short double-helical elements and three loops (D, anti-codon, and T loops). Further hydrogen bonds mediate the characteristic L-shaped molecular structure. tRNAs have two regions of fundamental functional importance: the anti-codon, which is responsible for specific mRNA codon recognition, and the 3' end, to which the tRNAs corresponding amino acid is attached (by aminoacyl-tRNA synthetases). tRNAs cope with the degeneracy of the genetic code in two manners: having more than one tRNA (with a specific anti-codon) for a particular amino acid; and 'wobble' base-pairing, i.e. permitting non-standard base-pairing at the 3rd anti-codon position. The record is from RNAcentral. Lineage: Eukaryota; Apicomplexa; Hepatozoidae.